GAAGCCUGGGGCGCAGGCCCAGGUGGAGCCGCCACAGGUGCAGAUCUUGGUGGUAGUAGCAACUAUUCAAACGAGAGCUUUGAAGAACGGAGCUGGAGCAUUAACUCUUC
This 110-nucleotide non-coding RNA is filed under the name Callipepla squamata (scaled quail). Its description in RNAcentral is "Eukaryotic large subunit ribosomal RNA". It matches the Rfam family "Eukaryotic large subunit ribosomal RNA", at positions 1405 to 1513 of the family's 3401-position model. Lineage: Eukaryota; Metazoa; Chordata; Aves; Galliformes; Odontophoridae. The record is from Rfam by way of RNAcentral.